CCUACGGGUGGCAGCAGUGAGGAAUAUUGGUCAAUGGACGAGAGUCUGAACCAGCCAAGUAGCGUGAAGGAUGACUGCCCUAUGGGUUGUAAACUUCUUUUAUAUGGGAAUAAAAUGUUCCACGUGUGGGAUUUUGUAUGUACCAUAUGAAUAAGGAUCGGCUAACUCCGUGCCAGCAGCCGCGGUAAUACGGAGGAUCCGAGCGUUAUCCGGAUUUAUUGGGUUUUAAGGGAGCGUAGGUGGAUUGUUAAGUCAGUUGUGAAAGUUUGCGGCUCAACCGUAAAAUUGCAGUUGAAACUGGCAGUCUUGAGUACAGUAGAGGUGGGCGGAAUUCGUGGUGUAGCGGUGAAAUGCUUAGAUAUCACGAAGAACUCCGAUUGCGAAGGCAGUUCACUGGACUGCAACUGACACUGAGGCUCGAAAGUGUGGGUAUCAAACAGGAUUAGAUACCCGAGUAGUC
RNAcentral lists this ribosomal RNA (460 nucleotides) under uncultured bacterium. RNAcentral describes it as "partial 16S ribosomal RNA". It matches the Rfam family "Bacterial small subunit ribosomal RNA", at positions 338 to 795 of the family's 1533-position model. The record is from RNAcentral.